This 460-nucleotide ribosomal RNA is filed under the name uncultured bacterium. RNAcentral describes it as "bacterial SSU rRNA". It matches the Rfam family "Bacterial small subunit ribosomal RNA", at positions 28 to 507 of the family's 1533-position model. The record is from RNAcentral.
GAUGAACGUUGGCGGCGUGCCUAAUACAUGCAAGUCGAACGGAGAUUGUAGCAAUACGGUCUCAGUGGCGAACGGGUGAGUAACGCGUUGGUGACCUGCCCCGAAGUGUGGAAUAACAGAUCGAAAGAGCUGCUAAUACCGCAUAAUAUCCAGGAGAUUAGAUGCUUCUGGAUUAAAGGAUUUAUCCGCUUCGGGAGGGGCCUGCGUCCCAUCAGCUAGUUGGUAAGGUAAAGGCUUACCAAGGCGAUGACGGGUAGGGGACCUGAGAGGGUGGCCCCCCACAAUGGAACUGAAACACGGUCCAUACACCUACGGGUGGCAGCAGUAGGGAAUAUUAGUAAUGGGCGAAAGCCUGAACUAGCAACGCCGCGUGUGCGAAGAAGGCCUUCGGGUUGUAAAGCACUUUUGUAGAGGAUGAGGAAGGACGGUACUCUCAGAAUAAGUCUCGGCUAACUACGUG